Molecule: ribosomal RNA, 426 nt
Filed under: uncultured Phaselicystis sp.
Lineage: Bacteria; Pseudomonadati; Myxococcota; Polyangiales; Phaselicystidaceae
Description: bacterial SSU rRNA
Rfam family: Bacterial small subunit ribosomal RNA
Source: RNAcentral
UGGGGAAUCUUGCGCAAUGGGCGAAAGCCUGACGCAGCGACGCCGCGUGGGUGAUGAAGGCCUUCGGGUUGUAAAGCCCUGUGGGGAGAGAAGAAUAAGUUUUGGUUAAUACCCGAAGCGAUGACGGUAUCUCCUUAGCAAGCACCGGCUAACUCUGUGCCAGCAGCCGCGGUAAGACAGAGGGUGCAAACGUUGUUCGGAAUUACUGGGCGUAAAGCGCGUGUAGGCGGCCAAGCAAGUCGGAUGUGAAAGCCCUCGGCUCAACCGGGGAAGUGCACUCGAAACUGCAUGGCUAGAGUCUCGGAGAGGAUCGUGGAAUUCUCGGUGUAGAGGUGAAAUUCGUAGAUAUCGAGAGGAACACCGGUGGCGAAGGCGGCGAUCUGGACGAUGACUGACGCUGAGACGCGAAAGCGUGGGGAGCAAACA